AAUAGUCUUUUAAUUGGAGGCUUGAAUGAAUGGUCGGACGUGAGGAAAGCUGUCUUUUACUUAGAGGGUGAAUUUAACUUUUGUGUGAAAAGGCAUGAAUGAGUCGGGGGGACGAUAAGACCCUAUAAAACUUUACGUCUUCGGGCUUAGUUUUAAAUGUUGAGUAUAAUUGGGACUUGAUUUGCGGACGUUUUGUUGGGGCGAUAGAGAUAAAAUUAGGUAGCUGUCUUUAAACAAGGAAUGCUUGUAAGCAGAUUUAGACCCCGAUUUUUGGGGUUAAAGUUUAAGUUACUUUAGGGAUAACAGCGUUAUUUCUCUUGAGAGUUCAUAUCGACAGAGAUAGUUGCGACCUCGAUGUUGAAUUAAAGUUUCUCCUAGGAGUAGAGAUUUAGAGAGUGGGUCUGUUCGACCUUUAAAAUUUUA
This 423-nucleotide ribosomal RNA is filed under the name Nennalpheus gabonensis. Its description in RNAcentral is "partial large subunit ribosomal RNA". It matches the Rfam family "Bacterial large subunit ribosomal RNA", at positions 1967 to 2598 of the family's 2925-position model. The record is from RNAcentral. Lineage: Eukaryota; Metazoa; Arthropoda; Malacostraca; Decapoda; Alpheidae.